GUGCAUGUUCUGACCUCCAUAGCGAGUCCCGUCAGCCUACAGAGUCUGUCUGCGGACGGGUCUCAGCUGCAGGAGAAAGUCAGAAACAGCCACCAGCUCUUCUCUGAGGUGGAAGAACAGACUGAGAGGAACAUCCAGGAUCUGGACAGGCUGCAAAGGGAGGGUCAGCGUUUGCAACAAUGGUUGCAAGGCGUUGAGGAAAAAGCAGCGAAAGAGGAGGAUCUUAGUCUCCUGCAGGAGGAAGCGCUUCAACAAAGGUAAACUGUUAACGUGGAAAUGAGCAAAUCUCGUGCAGAAGUGCGAAGGUCCAAACUUUAAGUUUAUCCAUCAGACAGUUUGC
RNAcentral lists this long non-coding RNA (340 nucleotides) under Cottoperca gobio. RNAcentral's name for it is "lncRNA (ENSCGOG00000008991.1)". The record is from RNAcentral. Lineage: Eukaryota; Metazoa; Chordata; Actinopteri; Perciformes; Bovichtidae.